This 645-nucleotide long non-coding RNA is filed under the name Olea europaea (common olive). RNAcentral's name for it is "long non-coding RNA (OEUR_LNC009684)". The record is from RNAcentral. Lineage: Eukaryota; Viridiplantae; Streptophyta; Magnoliopsida; Lamiales; Oleaceae.
UCAAAACAUGAAUUCGAACUACAAUAUCCGGGUCACCAAUGAAUAAUAAUCAUAAAAGUGGCAAAUCUAAAACAUAAAAUAAAUUUUCUCUAAAAAUAAUACAUGUCAUUCAUACCAAACCACCGCUGAGUCUCCCAUUAAUCUGAAAAUAGUUAAAUAGGAGUGAGUAUCUCAAAGAAAUACUUAGCAGGCUACACGUGCUACAUGAACUUAAUAUUCAUACAUUUAAUCAUAUAUUCUUACAUGUUGUCUUCAUAAAUAAGUAAAUCAAUGAUCAAACGAUCUACCUAAAGUUCUGAUGAGCCUCUACGACCAUCAGUUUAACAUAUAUAUACUUAAAAUUCUGGUGAGCCCCUGCGGCCAUUAGUUUAAACAUGUAUAAACCUUUCUUUCAUCAAAAUUUAAGGGAAAUCUCUAAAGGCACUUUAUACUUCAUGUAAAUAUAACGAAUAACAUGCUUAUUUGAAAAUUAAAUCCAUGUAACGACAACUUCGCGUAGGAAUCCUACCUUAAUUCAUGGUGAUGACAUAGUCGUUGAAUCGAACUUUUAUUUUCCGACACUUUUCUAAAGACUAAAGGUGAAAUUGGAAAUUUUCCUUCUCUGCUAUAUUUCUUGGAGAUUCUCAAAAUUGGAAGCCCUGUCCC